UGAGGAAUAUUGGUCAAUGGACGGAAGUCUGAACCAGCCAAGUAGCGUGCAGGAUGACGGCCCUAUGGGUUGUAAACUGCUUUUGUAUGGGGAUAAAGUUAGGGACGUGUCCCUAUUUGCAGGUACCAUACGAAUAAGGACCGGCUAAUUCCGUGCCAGCAGCCGCGGUAAUACGGAAGGUCCAGGCGUUAUCCGGAUUUAUUGGGUUUAAAGGGAGCGUAGGCUGGAUAUUAAGUGUGUUGUGAAAUGUAGACGCUCAACGUCUGACUUGCAGCGCAUACUGUUUUCCUUGAGUACGCACAACGUUGGCGGAAUUCGUCGUGUAGCGGUGAAAUGCUUAGAUAUGACGAAGAACUCCGAUUGCGAAGGCAGCUGACGGGAGCGCAACUGACGCUUAAGCUCGAAGGUGCGGGUAUCAAACAGG
This 424-nucleotide ribosomal RNA is filed under the name bacterium. RNAcentral's name for it is "partial 16S ribosomal RNA". It matches the Rfam family "Bacterial small subunit ribosomal RNA", at positions 355 to 776 of the family's 1533-position model. The record is from RNAcentral.